RNAcentral lists this ribosomal RNA (465 nucleotides) under uncultured bacterium. Its description in RNAcentral is "partial 16S ribosomal RNA". It matches the Rfam family "Bacterial small subunit ribosomal RNA", at positions 28 to 507 of the family's 1533-position model. The record is from RNAcentral.
GACGAACGCUGGCGGCGUGCUUAACACAUGCAAGUCGAACGGAAAGGCCCUGCUUGCCGGGUACUCGAGUGGCGAACGGGUGAGUAACACGUGGGUGAUCUGCCCUGCACUUCGGGAUAAGCCUGGGAAACUGGGUCUAAUACCGGAUAGGAGCCAUUUUUAGUGUGAUGGUUGGAAAGUUUUUUCGGUGUAGGAUGAGCUCGCGGCCUAUCAGCUUGUUGGUGGGGUAAUGGCCUACCAAGGCGGCGACGGGUAGCCGGCCUGAGAGGGUGGACGGCCACAUUGGGACUGAGAUACGGCCCAGACUCCUACGGGAGGCAGCAGUGGGGAAUAUUGCACAAUGGGCGCAAGCCUGAUGCAGCGACGCCGCGUGGGGGAUGACGGCCUUCGGGUUGGAAACUCCUUUCGCUAGGGACGAAGCUUUUUGCGACGGUACCUAGAUAAGAAGCACCGGCUAACUACGUG